Molecule: ribosomal RNA, 512 nt
Filed under: uncultured bacterium
Lineage: Bacteria
Description: bacterial SSU rRNA
Rfam family: Bacterial small subunit ribosomal RNA
Source: RNAcentral
GAAUCUGCCUGGUAGUGGGGGAUAACGUUCGGAAACGGACGCUAAUACCGCAUACGUCCUACGGGAGAAAGCAGGGGACCUUCGGGCCUUGCGCUAUCAGAUGAGCCUAGGUCGGAUUAGCUAGUUGGUGGGGUAAUGGCUCACCAAGGCGACGAUCCGUAACUGGUCUGAGAGGAUGAUCAGUCACACUGGAACUGAGACACGGUCCAGACUCCUACGGGAGGCAGCAGUGGGGAAUAUUGGACAAUGGGCGAAAGCCUGAUCCAGCCAUGCCGCGUGUGUGAAGAAGGUCUUCGGAUUGUAAAGCACUUUAAGUUGGGAGGAAGGGUUGUAGAUUAAUACUCUGCAAUUUUGACGUUACCGACAGAAUAAGCACCGGCUAACUCUGUGCCAGCAGCCGCGGUAAUACAGAGGGUGCAAGCGUUAAUCGGAAUUACUGGGCGUAAAGCGCGCGUAGGUGGUUUGUUAAGUUGGAUGUGAAAUCCCCGGGCUCAACCUGGGAACUGCAUUCA